Molecule: long non-coding RNA, 927 nt
Organism: Zingiber officinale
Lineage: Eukaryota; Viridiplantae; Streptophyta; Magnoliopsida; Zingiberales; Zingiberaceae
Exons: 2
Source: RefSeq, a predicted model, not a curated record
GGAGCUUUGACUGCAAUGGAGAGGCAAAGUAAUCAUCUUCAUCUUCAUCUUCAUCUUCAUCUUCAUCUUGAAGUAAAAGAAAGCCAAUCUUUAUCCAUUAUUUGUGUGUGCUUUUUAGUAACCACUUGUAUGACAAAUCUAACCAUUCCCUUAAUUGAUUGGAUUGACUCGAAUCCUCUUGUUGAAAGUGGAAACUAAUGGACGACGGCGUGGGACUCUAGUGUCGAUGGUGCAAACCUCAUUCGAUUAGAUGUUCUUCGAAAGUGAAAAUGUCCACAUCGAAUUAGUAGUGGUGUUCCCCACUAGAUCCAAGGAUGUUUCUUUGUCCUAUCGUCUCCUGCCUCCUAUAAAUUAACAACCCUUCGACUCUUCAUUCUUCGCGGUGAAGUAGAAGACCAAGAGCAAUAGGAAGAAGAGCCUUCGAGCAAGAUCAAUCAAUGGGGACAAGAGUUUUAUCGAGUUGUCAUGGAAAUGGGUCUAGCUUUUGGCACACUCCAAUUCCAUAUCUUUUUGGAGGUAUAGGGGCUAUGAUGGUGCUCAUAGCGGUGGCUCUCCUGAUGCUUGCAUGCUCUCGCCGGAAAUCAUUUGUCGAUAGUGACAAUCCGAGCUUGGCUCUAGAGCCCGAGGACGCUAGUAUUCAAGUUCCGAUUGAUUUGGAGCCCAGAUUUGCGGUUAUCGUGGCCGGUAAAGACACACCCACCUUCCUUGCAAAGCCUGUGCCAUGCGUUCUUCGUGACUCAGCUUCUCUUCAAGAAUCCUAAUUCUUCAUCGACUUUUUGUUUCCUUUUGGUUUUGUUUACAAUUUGCGGAUGAGAUGACUUGUUUUAGCAAGAAAUAGUAUGAAUUUGUAAUGAGUUUCCAGAAAUGUUUUUUGAUAUAAAGUGGUUUGUGUUUGAUCCCAUUGUCAAAACAAACACCUUUCUUCCU